This is a non-coding RNA of Triticum urartu, 135 nucleotides long. The record is from Rfam. NCBI's taxonomy places the organism in Eukaryota, Viridiplantae, Streptophyta, Magnoliopsida, Poales, Poaceae.
GAAUUACUCCCUUCGUUCCGAAUUACUUAUCUUAGAUUUGUCUAGAUACGAAGGUAUCUAGCACUAAAAUGAGUCUAGAUACAUCCGUAUCUAGACAAAUCCAAGACAAGUAAUUCAGAACGGAGGAAGUACUUG